This 254-nucleotide ribosomal RNA is filed under the name uncultured bacterium. RNAcentral's name for it is "partial 16S ribosomal RNA". It matches the Rfam family "Bacterial small subunit ribosomal RNA", at positions 524 to 776 of the family's 1533-position model. The record is from RNAcentral.
UACGGGGGGAGCAAGCGUUGUUCGGAUUUACUGGGCGUAAAGGGCGCGUAGGCGGUCAGCACAAGUCAGUUGUGAAAUCUCCGGGCUUAACCCGGAACGGUCAACUGAUACUGUGCGACUAGAGUGCGGAAGGGGCAACUGGAAUUCUCGGUGUAGCGGUGAAAUGCGUAGAUAUCGAGAGGAACACCUGCGGCGAAGGCGGGUUGCUGGGCCGACACUGACGCUGAUGCGCGAAAGCCAGGGGAGCGAACGGG